This 81-nucleotide transfer RNA is filed under the name Paramuricea clavata. It matches the Rfam family "tRNA". Rfam says of the family: Transfer RNA (tRNA) molecules are approximately 80 nucleotides in length. Their secondary structure includes four short double-helical elements and three loops (D, anti-codon, and T loops). Lineage: Eukaryota; Metazoa; Cnidaria; Anthozoa; Malacalcyonacea; Plexauridae. The record is from Rfam by way of RNAcentral.
AUAGUCGUGGCCGAGUGGUUAAGGCGACACACUAGAAAUCUGUUGGGAUUUCCCGCGCAGGUUCAAAUCCUGCCGACUACG